This is a non-coding RNA of Pelodiscus sinensis (Chinese soft-shelled turtle), 2370 nucleotides long. The record is from RefSeq and is a predicted model, not a curated record. NCBI's taxonomy places the organism in Eukaryota, Metazoa, Chordata, Testudines, Trionychidae.
UUCUGCCUCGGUCUGAAGUUGUGGCAAAGUUUCAGAGGCGCUCGCAGGGCAUCGCCGAGAGGGGCUGGGAGCCGCUCAGGGCGCUGCACAUGGAGUGGAUGUUUUCAGAGACCUACACUCCACGCUCUCUCUCUCGAGCGGGUAAAUGAGAUGCCUUCGCAGGGCUUGGUUUUCUGAGGAAAUCUGAAAAUGCAACACUGUGGCCGGGACUUCCUGAUCCGGCCCCUGCAUUGCAGCCCCCAGCUCCACCAGAUUGGACACGCUCAGCCGCCAAACAGAGUCCCCAAUGCAUGACAGCAUCCCCCGCUGUGCUUACAGUCCUUGACUCACUAGGACAUAUGCCCAGGCUUACCUGCUUGCCUGAGUCAGGGCCUAUGGUGCUGUGAGGCAGGCAAAGACUGCAAUGAACUGGCUGGGAGGCACAGGCCUCCGCCGCCUGGCCUUCCCCCAGGGGAAGGAGAGCAGAGACGUGCAGCCGCCGGAGGGGCUGGCCCCUCGUGAAAAGGGCUCACCCGGGACGACCAUGCAGCCCCGCAUCGAUCCCCCAGGCUGUCGGCGAGCCCCUUUGGGGGCUACACACCAGCAGCGGGGAAAUGCCAUCAGGAGGGGGAAAUACGCUGAGAUUUGAAACUGACAAGAGAGUCUGGUCCAGGCCAGGCGGCUGCCAGAGCUGGGAAUGGUGGAAUUGACAAGGCGAGAGGGGAAGGUUUCUUGCUAUGGAUGCUGCAGAGCUCCAUCCCUGACCUUUCUUCCUUCUCUGUGCAUUAUCCUCCCUUCCUCGAGUCGUGGCUCAGCCUCUCCCUCUGCCCCUUUCCAUCUCCUCUGCCCUGCUCCAGCUCCCUUCACGGGCUCACUCAUCCCGUUUUCCAGCCUCCCUGCCUCUCUGAUUUGACUCGCAAAGAGAGACAUCACUGGAGCCAGGCCUGGCUCCUGAGCUCUCAGUCUCCUGCUCUCUCUCCCCCGCCUCCUCAGCCGCACCCCGGAAAGUCCCCUUCCCCUUGCCCCUGCUGAAAUCCUCAUGCCCGUCUUAGCCCGGCUGCAGUUCUCCGCCACUGCGAAAUUGAGGGCAACCUGCCUCCUUUGCUGGCUUUCAGCCCAGGGUUUAACAGAAGGCGGACGGGGAACCCUCCACAUUGUACGGGUGGUACAGAAAGAGCCCCCGUCCUGUGUCUGGGCGGAUUCAUUCCCGAAGUCCAUGCAGUAGCACCCCGGGGGGCUCUGCUCUCCUGCCAUGUGGUUCUCUGGCGCAACGAGAGGGGGGGUUUGCUUUGACAGCCCCAGCUCCACCCCCUCCUGCGCAUCCCUGACUGUCUGCACCCUGCCCGGCGCUCUCGCAGGCCUUGGGAGGCGGGCCAGUCCUCGCCUCCAGACAGCCCCGCAACCUGAGAUGAACACGCCCCAGCAGCACAGACACACUCGCCCGGGACCCCACCCCUGCCACAAACCCCGGUGCCAACUCUGUGCACAUCUACACAAGCGACGCCAUCACAGGCCCUACCCACAUCAGGGGCUCAUCCGCCUGCACGUCCACUAACGUGAUCUAUGCCAGCCAUGCCCCUCUGCCACAUUGGCCAGAGCGGCCUGUCUCUGCGCCACAGGGACACACGUCAGCCAGCAGGAACGGUACCACACACAGACCUGCCCGGAACAUUUUAACCUCCCUGGACAUUGAGUGAUGGAUUUCCAAGUAGCCAUCCUCCUACACACACACUUCAAUGCCUGAAAACCGAGAAACGGCAGAGCUGCAACUGACUUGCAGAUUAAACUCGCCCAAGCGAGGACCGAAUAAGGACGCAGAACGGUUCCCUCACGACAAAAGGGAGUCCGCAUCCCCCCUGACUCAACCGGCCUUAACACUGGCCCUGCACGUGACAAGUUACUCCCGUCUUUGGACAUACUAGUUGGGACGGGGCCUCGGCCCCACACUGGGUUGAGAAGGGUUAAAUCCAGCCCUGGGAGAGGGCGGGGCUAAGGAGCCAGGAGCUGUGGUAGCAGCCAAUCAGGGCCCAGCUGAGGGCUGUAUAAAUAAGGGCUCCUGGGCAGAGAAGACUCACUCCAGCUUGCUCUUGCGGUGGAGCAGGAGGGACCUGGCUGUUUGGGAAGCUGGAGGGUUCCUGAUACAGAAUGGGGCUGGGGAAAGGCAGGCAGGGCUGGGGAGCUGAGGCCUUGCUCUGGAGGCCUGAGGUACUGAGGCUCCGGGGAGGCAGGCGAAGGCAGCGGGUCCACCCUGCUUUGCCAAGGAUGAGUGGUCCCGUCAGACGGCCGUUUGCCCCUGCAGUGACCGAUUCCAAGAGCCCCUCCUGGCUAGCUGCUAUUGACAGCCCUAGACGCCCUAUUGGGAGCGAGGGAGGGGCCGGCUGGGGGCACGCU